GGAGAGGUGCCAGAGUGGCCGAAUGGACUCGCCUCGAAAGCGGGCGUCCUCGCAAGGGGACCGUGGGUUCAAAUCCCACCCUCUCCGCCA
This 90-nucleotide transfer RNA is filed under the name Nitrospira sp. Its description in RNAcentral is "tRNA-Ser". It matches the Rfam family "tRNA". From Rfam's summary of the family: Transfer RNA (tRNA) molecules are approximately 80 nucleotides in length. Lineage: Bacteria; Pseudomonadati; Nitrospirota; Nitrospiria; Nitrospirales; Nitrospiraceae. RNAcentral also lists the same sequence under 12 other names. The record is from RNAcentral.